AAAGUCAAAAGAAAUAUAUUGUAGGACUUUAGUACCUUAAUUAUAGGGAUUUGCAUGACUUUGAUCAUUCUUAAACCUAUAAAUUGAGUAUCAUUGUAAUACGGAAAUAUCAAGCAAUAUCAAAGAAAUACAAUAACAAUCUUUGGCUUCUCUUUAUUUUUCUCUACAUUAUGAUGAUACCAUGUUUCAACAUGGUAUCAGAGCAGGUUCAACCCUAGGAACUCAGAAACGAAUCAUCAUCCUUCAUAAUCCAAAACCAAAACCGUUCCUAGCCAAUUCACCAAAUCAAAACAGCCCCUGUUCUUCAUUUCCUGAAAAAAAAAAAAAAUGCCAGGAGAGAUUGAAACCAUAAACCAAACAGAUUCAAAUAACCCAAAUCCAAACAGAAUCCACAGAAUGGGUCGAAGAGACCCAAAUCCAAUCAACUGCAAUGAAGAAGGGAUUAAUAAGCACCGAAAAUUAAUCGGAAAUUGCCGAUUAUUUCAAUUCCUCCCUGGAUUAGAUGGGAGAUACGACAAACUUUGUCGGGACAUUCUCAAGAAAGUUCCCGUUCCCUCAGUCGAGUCGGCGUUCUCAAAAGUGAGAAGGGAGGCCGCCCGACUACAAAACUUGCAGCCGGCAACCAACCGCUCCGACAUCGACGCCUCAUCAUCGGGAGGGGUCGGAGCCGGACUCGCCACCACCCACCGCCCUACUCAGCGGCCUGAGGUCCGACCGCCACACACCGCCGCCGGUCCAGGCAACCCACCGGAGUGGUGGGAAAACAAUCACAAAAUUGCCAAAGGGAAGAAAGCGAGCGACGACGAUGAGAUGGAGCAGCUGCUGCGAGCAGCGCAGGAUGACGUGCUUCGCAAACUCAGCGUCGAUUCCCACACGGCGCGCGGCUCAGGCGCCGCCGCCAUCGACCCAGAUCUCGACCGCCGUUUCCUGGCCCUCAAGAAACCCCAGAAGCUCUCGAAACACGACGAUUCUGUGAAGAAUUCCCCAAAAGAAGCUCACGCCUGCGACAGCAAAGUGGCGGACGGAAGUGGAGGAAAUUCGGAACAGAUCGGAGCAACACCGACUGGAUCGGAAGAGACCGAGAACCGACCGGCGUGGGCCGCAAGAGCGGCGGCCAUGGCUGUCGACCGAUUGGCAGCGGCUGGACCGUGGGGCGCGAGGGAGAUGUCGGCGGCUGGAGAUCAGUCGCCGCUGACCGUGGGGUCGGCGGCACCGGCCAUGAACCGACCGGCGGUGGCGGCGGUGGCUAUGGAUCGUCCGGCAGCGGCUGCAGGACCAAGGAAGGGAGGAGGUGCAGAUUUAUUUGAUGGAGGCGCAAGUAUAGGAGGCGCAGGGUAUAGGGUUUGGUGUUUUCACACCAAACCCUCUAACUUCUUCAAAUUAUUAUAAAAGACCCCAUUUUUUGCCCACUAAGUCCCCGAAUUCUGGAGUAUUACAAAUACCACCCCUGGGUUAUCCUGAAUUGCAGCAAGAGCCCCACUUUAUGCAAACUACCCCCCUGGAUUUGCAUAAAUUACAAAACCACCCCAAACCUCUACAUAAUACUAAAAACACCUCUCAAUUAUGUAGAAUUUCCCUAAAUACUUCCGCUGCAUAUCAAACCUCUUAUGAUAAUAGGGAUAGGGAUAAAGGGUGGAUUUUUGAUUGUGGAGCCACUGAUACAAUGACUUUUGAUAAAACUGAUAUUAUUAAGUCAUCAACAUCACAUCGUACGCAUGUUCAGACUGCAAAUGGUGAUUUGACUCGUGUUAAAGGAGCCGGAACUAUAGAAAUUUCCCCUACUUUACGUCUCUCAAAUUGUCUUUAUGUCCCGUCUCUUUCACACAAACUCUUAUCUAUUAGCCAUGUUACUAAAGAGCUCAAUUGUACCAUGCUUAUGCAUCCUCACUUCUGUUUACUUCAGGAUAUCAGGACGGGGGAGAUUAUUGGGCGUGGCACUGAGCGGGAUGGAUUGUACUAUGUGGAUGAGAUAGCUCAACAAGGCAAGGUGAUGCUGGCUCACGGAACUGCUGACCGGGAAGCCUGGCUUUGGCACCGUAGGUUAGGGCAUCCAUCCACGGGUUACCUUAAGAUUUUAUUCCCUAACAUUAUGCAAAAUAAUACUUUGUCUUGUGAAACUUGUGUUUUGGCUAAAAGUCAUCGACAACCUUUUAAACCUAGUGAUACUCAAGUCGAUUCUAUUUUUUCUUUAGUUCACUCUGAUGUUUGGGGUCCAUCACCUAUUGCCGGGGGUCAAGGGUUUAAAUAUUUUCUGCUUUUUGUUGAUGAUUGCACUAGAAUGACAUGGUUAUAUUUUCUCAAAAAUAAAUCUCAAGUUUUUGAUAAAUUUACUCAUUUUUUCGCCAUGGUGCAAAAUCAAUUCCAGAAAAAUAUCCAAGUCCUUAGAACUGAUAACGGGGGUGAAUUUGUCAAUCAUAACAUGCAGAACUUUUGUCAACAAAAAGGGAUAAUUCAUCAAACCACUUGUCCCCAUACCCCUGAACAAAACGGUGUUGCUGAACGAAAGAAUAGAAUCUUGCUUGAAAUGACCCGAGCUAUGAUGAUUGAGUCUAAGGUACCCAGCCAUUUUUGGCCCGAAGCUGUCGCAACCUCAGUUUACCUUAUAAACCGCCUUCCCACUAGAACCCUCAAACUUCAAACCCCAUUACAAAAAUUAUCCACUUUGGCCUCUGUCCCUGUCACUCUCACUCUUCAACCCCGGGUCUUUGGUAGUUCUGUUUUCGUUCAUAUCCCUAAGAAUGAACGGACUAAACUCUCUCCUUGUGCCAUUAAGU
Molecule: long non-coding RNA, 2774 nt
Filed under: Salvia miltiorrhiza (redroot sage)
Lineage: Eukaryota; Viridiplantae; Streptophyta; Magnoliopsida; Lamiales; Lamiaceae
Description: long non-coding RNA (SMIL_LNC007903)
Source: RNAcentral